RNAcentral lists this ribosomal RNA (253 nucleotides) under uncultured bacterium. RNAcentral describes it as "partial 16S ribosomal RNA". It matches the Rfam family "Bacterial small subunit ribosomal RNA", at positions 524 to 776 of the family's 1533-position model. The record is from RNAcentral.
UACGGAGGGUGCAAGCGUUAUCCGGAUUCACUGGGUUUAAAGGGUGCGUAGGCGGGCAGUUAAGUCAGUGGUGAAAUCCUAGAGCUCAACUCUAGAACUGCCAUUGAUACUAUCUGUCUUGAAUAUUGUGGAGGUAAGCGGAAUAUGUCAUGUAGCGGUGAAAUGCUUAGAUAUGACAUAGAACACCUAUUGCGAAGGCAGCUUACUACGCAUAUAUUGACGCUGAGGCACGAAAGCGUGGGGAUCAAACAGG